GAUGUCAAAAGACGGACCAGCGUUUCCGCAGGUUGUCGUGCGGAAGUAUCAGUUGCAAGUCAACCUCGGGGGAAGGGCUUGCGGGGGGACCCUCCGGACUGACGCAGCGCACUCUGCCGGGCCUCCUUUGCUGGUUCCUUCCUUACGAUGCCGCCCCCCUCCCCGGGGGGUGGCCAGCGCCCGCCAGAGGACCAUCAAACUCCAGUCAGUAAACGAUGCAGUCUGAAAAACAUUUAAUAAACUAAAACUUUCAACAACGGAUCUCUUGGUUCUGGCAUCGAUGAAGAACGCAGCGAAAUGCGAUAAGUAAUGUGAAUUGCAGAAUUCAGUGAAUCAUCGAAUCUUUGAACGCACAUUGCGCCCUUUGGUAUUCCGAAGGGCAUGCCUGUUCGAGCGUCAUUACAACCCUCAAGCUCUGCUUGGUAUUGGGCACCGUCCUUUGCGGGCGCGCCUCAAAGACCUCGGCGGUGGCGUCUUGCCUCAAGCGUAGUAGAACAUACAUCUCGCUUCGGAGCGCAGGGCGUCGCCCGCCGGACGAACCUUCUGAACUUUUCUCAAGGUUGACCUCGGAUCAGGUAGGGAUACCCGCUGAACUUAAGCAUAUCAAUAAGCGGAGGA
RNAcentral lists this ribosomal RNA (618 nucleotides) under Botryosphaeria dothidea. RNAcentral describes it as "eukaryotic LSU rRNA". The stretch from base 246 to 399 matches the Rfam family "5.8S ribosomal RNA". The record is from RNAcentral. Lineage: Eukaryota; Fungi; Ascomycota; Dothideomycetes; Botryosphaeriales; Botryosphaeriaceae.